This 463-nucleotide ribosomal RNA is filed under the name uncultured bacterium. RNAcentral describes it as "partial 16S ribosomal RNA". It matches the Rfam family "Bacterial small subunit ribosomal RNA", at positions 28 to 507 of the family's 1533-position model. The record is from RNAcentral.
GAUGAACGCUGACAGAAUGCUUAACACAUGCAAGUCUUUGGCGAAGCUGUGCUCGCACAGCCUAGCCAAGGCGGACGGGUGAGUAGCGCGUAAGGAACUUGCCCUGCAGUCAGGGAUAACAGACGGAAACGACUGAUAAGACCUGGUAAAGUCAGGCGGACUCAUGUCCAGCCUGAUGAAAAGAGAUGCUGCAGGAGAGCCUUGCGUCCUAUUAGCUUGUUGGUGGGGUAACGGCCCACCAAGGCGAUGAUAGGUAGCCGGCCUGAGAGGGUGGACGGCCACAAGGGGACUGAGAUACGGCCCUUACUCCUACGGGAGGCAGCAGUGGGGAAUAUUGGACAAUGGGGGCAACCCUGAUCCAGCAAUUCUGUGUGCACGAUGAAGGUUUUCGGAUUGUAAAGUGCUUUCAGCAGGGAAGAAAAAAAUGACGGUACCUGCAGAAGAAGCGACGGCUAAAUACGUG